UGUAUGAAGGGUUGGAUGAGAUAUAAACUGUCUCAAAAAUAAUUAAUUGAAUUUAAUUUUUUAAUUAAAAAGUUAAAAUAUGUUAAAAAGACGAGAAGACCCUAUAGAGUUUUAUAUUAAAUAAUAUUUAAAUUAUUUAUAAAUUUCAUUAAUUAUAAAUUUUAUUUAAUAUUUUGUUGGGGUGAUAGAAAAAUAAAAAAAACUUUUUUUAAAAAUAGUCAUUAAUAAGUGAAUAAUUGAUCCAAUUUUAUUGAUUAUAAGAAAAAAUUACCUUAGGGAUAACAGCGUAAUUUUUUUUUUUAGUUUUUAUAAAAAAAAAAGUUUGCGACCUCGAUGUUGGAUCAGGACAA
Molecule: ribosomal RNA, 350 nt
Filed under: Antheraea assamensis (Indian muga silkmoth)
Lineage: Eukaryota; Metazoa; Arthropoda; Insecta; Lepidoptera; Saturniidae
Description: partial 16S ribosomal RNA
Source: RNAcentral